Molecule: ribosomal RNA, 301 nt
Filed under: uncultured bacterium
Lineage: Bacteria
Description: partial 16S ribosomal RNA
Rfam family: Bacterial small subunit ribosomal RNA
Source: RNAcentral
CAGCCGCCGCGGGAAUACGUAGGGCGCAAGCGUUGUCCGGAAUUAUUGGGCGUAAAGAGCUCGUAGGCGGUCUGUCGCGUCUGGUGUGAAAUCCCGAGGCUCAACCUCGGGCUUGCAUCGGGUACGGGCAGACUAGAGUGCGGUAGGGGAGACUGGAAUUCCUGGUGUAGCGGUGGAAUGCGCAGAUAUCAGGAGGAACACCGAUGGCGAAGGCAGGUCUCUGGGCCGCAACUGACGCUGAGGAGCGAAAGCAUGGGGAGCGAACAGGAUUAGAUACCCCCGUAGUCCCUGUCUCUUAUAA